RNAcentral lists this ribosomal RNA (497 nucleotides) under uncultured bacterium. RNAcentral's name for it is "partial 16S ribosomal RNA". It matches the Rfam family "Bacterial small subunit ribosomal RNA", at positions 28 to 507 of the family's 1533-position model. The record is from RNAcentral.
GAUGAACGCUGGCGGCGUGCCUAAUACAUGCAAGUCGAGCGAACGGACGAGAAGCUUGCUUCUCUGAUGUUAGCGGCGGACGGGUGAGUAACACGUUGAUAACCUACCUAUAAGACUGGGAUAACUUCGGGAAACCGGAGCUAAUACCGGAUAAUAUUUUGAACCGCAUGGUUCAAAAGUGAAAGACGGUCUUUCUGUCACUUAUAGAUGGAUCCUCGCUGCAUUAGCUAGUUGGUAAGGUAACGGCUUACCAAGGCAACGAUGCAUAGCCGACAUGAGAGGGUGAUCGGCCACACUGGAAAGGAGACACGGUACAGACUCCUACGGGAGGAAGCAGUAGGGAAUAUUCCGCAAUGGGCGAAAGCAUGACGGAGCAACGCCGCGUGAGUGAUGAAGGUCUUCGGAUCGUAAAACUCUGUUAUUAGGGAAGAACAUAUGUGUAAGUAACUGUGCACAUCUUGACGGUACCUAAUCAGAAAGCAACGGCUAACUACGUG